This 473-nucleotide ribosomal RNA is filed under the name uncultured bacterium. RNAcentral describes it as "bacterial SSU rRNA". It matches the Rfam family "Bacterial small subunit ribosomal RNA", at positions 26 to 518 of the family's 1533-position model. The record is from RNAcentral.
AGGACGAACGCUGGCGGCGUGCCUAACACAUGCAAGUCGAGCGAGGAGAUCCUCGGGAUGAUCCUAGCGGCGGACGGGUGAGUAACACGUGGGCAACCUGCCUCAUAGAGAGGAAUAGCCUUCCGAAAGGGAGAUUAAUACCUCAUAACAUUGCAGUUUCGCAUGGAACAGCAAUUAAAGGAGCAAUCCGCUAUGAGAUGGGCCCGCGGCGCAUUAGCUAGUUGGUGAGGUAACGGCUCACCAAGGCGACGAUGCGUAGCCGACCUGAGAGGGUGAUCGGCCACAUUGGGACUGAGACACGGCCCAGACUCCUACGGGAGGCAGCAGUGGGGAAUAUUGCACAAUGGGGGAAACCCUGAUGCAGCAACGCCGCGUGAGUGAUGACGGCCUUCGGGUUGUAAAGCUCUGUCUUCAGGGACGAUAAUGACGGUACCUGAGGAGGAAGCCACGGCUAACUACGUGCCAGCCGCCGC